RNAcentral lists this unclassified non-coding RNA (227 nucleotides) under uncultured Alphaproteobacteria bacterium. Its description in RNAcentral is "contains 16S-23S intergenic spacer region". The record is from RNAcentral. Lineage: Bacteria; Pseudomonadati; Pseudomonadota; Alphaproteobacteria.
UCCAGCUUAUCUCUGGAGUCCGCGACCGGGAUGUCAAGGGCUGGUAAGGUUCUGCGCGUUGCGUCGAAUUAAACCACAUGCUCCACCGCUUGUGCGGGCCCCCGUCAAUUCCUUUGAGUUUUAAUCUUGCGACCGUACUCCCCAGGCGGAAUGCUUAAAGCGUUAGCUGCGCCACUAGUGAGUAAACCCACUAACGGCUGGCAUUCAUCGUUUACGGCGUGGACUAC